UGGUCAGGUAGAGAAUACCAAGGCGCUUGAGAGAACUCGGGUGAAGGAACUAGGCAAAAUGGUGCCGUAACUUCGGGAGAAGGCACGCUGAUAUGUAGGUGAAGUCCCUCGCGGAUGGAGCUGAAAUCAGUCGAAGAUACCAGCUGGCUGCAACUGUUUAUUAAAAACACAGCACUGUGCAAACACGAAAGUGGACGUAUACGGUGUGACGCCUGCCCGGUGC
RNAcentral lists this ribosomal RNA (223 nucleotides) under Escherichia coli. RNAcentral describes it as "partial 23S ribosomal RNA". It matches the Rfam family "Bacterial large subunit ribosomal RNA", at positions 1664 to 1869 of the family's 2925-position model. Lineage: Bacteria; Pseudomonadati; Pseudomonadota; Gammaproteobacteria; Enterobacterales; Enterobacteriaceae. The record is from RNAcentral.